Long non-coding RNA from Nematostella vectensis (starlet sea anemone), 3513 nucleotides. RefSeq lists it as uncharacterized. The record is from RefSeq and is a predicted model, not a curated record. The transcript has 2 exons. Lineage: Eukaryota; Metazoa; Cnidaria; Anthozoa; Actiniaria; Edwardsiidae.
GAUUCCCGGUCUGCGAGGCAGUUAGCGAUCCCGGGGAUAUGGGCUGAGCUAAGCCAUAUGCCUCUAGUUAUACACCACUCCCAAAUAGUCUUCCCCAGUAGGUUAAGUUCUGGAGAGUGGCUCGUUCCCAUGUGGUUUAGAACUGCGAUGGCCGUUGUACGGAGUACCUCGUGGCUUUCGCCAUUACCCCGGUGGGGUUCAGUUUGCAUCGGUGAUGCUGUGUGGGUGUCCGAUGGACCGCUAGCCUCAUCUUCGAGCAUGUGCUAAAGGGAGGCAUUUUCAGCUUUGUUCGACAUGUUUUAGUAAGGUACUAAAAAUAUAUAGAACAAGUGACGAUUAGUUAGUAUAAAGAAUAACAAAACACGAUGGAUUGGUUGUUAACCCCGAAGUACUCACGAUUACCAAAGGUAAUAGUUGAAGUAGAUGUAUAAUUUUUGAAGUAGUUGAUCUGCGAUCAGGUAGGCGUGUGGCUGCUGUGAAAGCGAGCGUACAAUGGCUCGAUAAGCAAGCGCGCGUGCUUCUCAUGUUAGUCUGUAGUGACGUAUGACUGAUGACAGAUAGAACUGAGGUGGUUCAUCCAUGAUCUGAGCAUUGUGUUGGAGCCGCCAGGUAGUACUUUGCAUUCUAGAUUCAAAUCAAGUUUUGAGUUGCUAACAUUGAAUAGGACCAGGUUAGGAAACUGAAGGGCAAAACAACAUUAAUUCCACAGAUUCUAUACAAGUGCUCCAAAGCCAGACAAUUAUGUAAGUUUUUAGAAGGAUUCUCAUUACAAGAAAGUCUAUUCAGAGCCGCAACAUUGACCGGGUUUCUUCUUGAUAACCACAAGUCACAGCCAAUGUCAGUCAUGCAUUUUUAUAUCUUUAUAUGUCUGAGUAAAUGAUGAUGUGUCCUUUACAAUGGCGUCCUUUUGCGCCCUGAAGAUGUCGGUCACAGCAUUAGCGAAUGCUGGAAAGUGACGAAUCCAUGUCAGAAUUUAAAAAAAACCCAGUGUUCUCAGACCUCAGUGUUCUCAAGGACAGCUCUGUUCGUCUCGUUACUGGUCAUGAACUCUUUCACCAUCUCCACCUCCUCUGUUACUCUUCCAAAACUCUCCUUCAAACCCCCGAUUUUAAUACAGUAAACACUUCUUUGCUGGUCUCCCGUGUUUUACUGUGCUGCACACUUCACAGUUAUCAUUAUCUGGUUUCCAAACAACACAGUAGUCUUUAACAACACAUGUUCCACUCAGAUAGGCAGCCUUGUUGGUUUUUGACCGACAUCUGCUGCACACAUGAAUGGGAUAAACGUCUUGGCUGUCAAGAAGGAUAUUUAUGCGCCAAAUUUGCUGCAUGUUCUUGGCAAAAUCACCAGUGCGAGCAUGCGUUUUCUGUCUCUUGAUACUAUUCGCACAUAUGCGGCACUUGAAGUUGAGGAGUCUUUUAUCAUUGUCCAUCUUUCCUUAAAAAAGAAACAAAAACACUAAGAAACAUAUUUUGAAUACUCUAAACCCAUGAGCGCUUAUUGGCCGAUCGAGGGCAAUCCUACCGGGAGUGCUUAUACGAGACUUUCAACGGAAACUAGGGACUUCCAAUACUCGGCGAGAGAUUGGCGUUUUAUAACAAGAAUCCGAGAAAAAGUGGUUUCGUAUACGUGAAAACUGGCAAGAUAUCAAAAUUUAAAUAUAGGACUCCCAGAUAGGAGUCCUUUGGAAUUCCAUCAUUAAUAGAAUGUCUCUCCGGAAAGCUGAGGUCAUGUACAACACGGAGGUCUUCAGAAUCGCGUUUAGGAACGCAAAGUAAUGGCGAGAUAACACAUUCCGUAUCAAACGGAUUAUUUCUGUACGUACAAUUGUAAAUAAUCAAUGUGCUGAUUUGCCGAGAGAUGAUUUUUGAGUGUAGCCGUAGCUUGAUCACUGCAAAAAUUUAUUGGCCAACCAAAACGUAAAACAUCGAUCACAAGUCUGUCCUGAUAAUGUUUGAGAUACUCGCUCCAUUUAUCAAUCACGAAAGUGGAAGACACUGGGAUUGGGGCACCACGAAAAUUAGGAAGGUGGAAGGCGCGGAUAGAGUUCGCCAAUACCAUGGCUGAUAGUCAGUGCCGCUCGCCGCCGGGUACGACAACAGGACCAGUGUUAGGUAUCGGGGAUCGCUGCUUUGCACACGACAGCAUAGAAUGGUUGGCAUCACAAACUUGGCAAAGGUGAUCAGACUUGUAGGCUGGAUCCGUUGGGAGACAAGAACAUUUCCCCGUAUGAUUCCAAUCCUUGCAAUAAAGCUCUUUCUUGGCCUUUGCCGCAGACGAGAUCCCAUUUCGCGGUGCCGAUUGCGAAGCCGAACGCAAAUCCGUGUGAGUGAAUGCGAUCUGCGCCCUAUCGCGAAUAACGGUGGCGUCAUUCCAAGUGAGCCGCCCAGCCUCUAUUGCGGUGUUGGGCUGUUGAGACAAAAAAUAUACUUAUGAUCCGAAAGCAUACUACCAGGUAUGAAUAGACGAAAAAAGAAGUGAUACACUUUGGCGGGAAACCCCAAACCACGCGCUCUACUUGAGUAUAUCAUUAGUCAAUUCCCGACUAAUCUAAAAUUUCUGAACUUAAGACUGUUGAAAGGGGUCUACAAAAUAGGUUCAAAUCCACAUCACCUUGUCGUUAUCCCGAUAGCGGGAAUACGCCUCCUCAACAGGUCGACCAUUCCUUGUGAGCUGGUAUCAAUAGGGAACACCACUCUGGUCCACGAGGAGGGAGUGUUGGGUUUUUUAGGUGAUGGGUUCGGUCAAAUCAAGCCACACAAAAUGUCUGGCUAUUGGAGCUCCUGAUGUUCGCCUAGCCUGACUGCUUCUUCCUCCUAAAGUUUCCCCUCUUCCUCUACUUCCUACAGUUAGCGUAUGGUCCAUGUUUGAGAGAAUUAUUAAGGUCUAAAAAGGCCAGAUUUGUCAUCUCUACCUCAUGAAAAAAUGUUUCAGCAAUGCCUGGUGUUCGUCCCUAAAGUUGCCUCUGCUCUCGCCUUGCAAUAUGUUUGACCAAACUUAGACUGAAACCACCAUGAUUUGAUAAAAGCCAAAAAGGAAAAGAUAGUUAUGGUAGUUUUUAAUGCGAAACAGUGAGGUACUAGCCUGCUUGCAGGUGUUAAUAAUAAGUUCUUUUAUUGUACACGUAUAAUAUCAUUUUACAAUAAAUAAAAUUUAAUCAAUAAUUGAUUUUACAAUAGAUAAAAACUACUCAGCAGGUAGCGCAAGUGAGAGGAAAAAAACGUAAGUUCUUAUUAAGAAGAAAAGAGAAAAAAGAAGAAAUAAUAAAAGAUUUAAGGUACUCUUCAACAGGAUCCUGACAGAAUCGUUCUGUCAGGACGUACUCCAUACCCUCUUGGAGGAGAAGCUUGGUGGCUUCGAUGCCAGACUGGGCAGUCAACUAGAAGCUCUCAUAGGUCUGCCAGGACUGGAACAUGCGGGAUCUUGCAUUCUGACUAAAGUUUCCUGGGCGGUUCUGGGUUCUCUCUUUCCAGCCUCUCAGAUAGCUUAAGAAAUCUGUCAAAAACAGGAACC